This is a long non-coding RNA of Salvia splendens (bonfire salvia), 747 nucleotides long. RefSeq lists it as uncharacterized. Lineage: Eukaryota; Viridiplantae; Streptophyta; Magnoliopsida; Lamiales; Lamiaceae. The transcript is spliced from 4 exons. The record is from RefSeq and is a predicted model, not a curated record.
CUGGAACGAAAGGAUCCUGAUCGAAUGCUGACAUCAUGCGAUCGCUGCUUGGCCUAGCUGAGCCCACAAAUGAUAUGUCGCUCUCACCCAUUGAAAGCUCUCCAUACGACCGAUUAGCUUUGCCUCUGGUGAAAGGGGGAGGGGCGAAUGGAUUCAGUAGUGUUGCAUAGCACUGUGAAGAAAUAGGAGGAAGAUUGUGAAAAAGACAGACCUCGUCCUCCAUGGAGCUGUGCGUUGCGUGAAUCAUGCAGGCUACCCGAGUUAUGAAGUGAACGCUCUCUUUGAGGGGGAAUUGACGGAGAUCUGCAUGACGCCACCUUCCCUUUGGAGAUGACGUAGACAGUGCAGUAGUCUGGCACCAUUUUCGUCACGCUGCCUGGGAUAUCAACAGUCUUGAAUCUUCUGUGCCAAGAGUUUUGAAAUCUGUUACCUGACAAAGCCAUUCUUGGGUGAGGAACCGAUCACCAGUGUCUCGAUGGAGUUGUUCUUGAUGUACUCGCUCAGGGCCUUUGCUACGUCCGAGUCUUCUAGUAUCACUUCAUGCACUUGAAUCUGAGCCAAGAAUUCGUAAGCAGCGGAAAGGAAGGAACAGGUCUUUCGCAGACUCGUUGUCAGAGAAACUCAUUCGACCUCCCACUGAAUCAUCAUCAUAAGAGGUCACAAUUAGAUUUAUAUCUUUGCAUCUUUAAUAACAUAGAUAGGUAUGUAUAGAGAGAGGGGGGGGGGAAGAGAGUACGUGGGAAAGAG